UACGUAGGGUGCGAGCGUUAAUCGGAAUUACUGGGCGUAAAGGGUGCGCAGGUGGUUAUGUAAGCUUGAUGUGAAAUCCCCGGGCUCAACCUGGGAACUGCAUUGAGGACUGCAUGGCUAGAGUGUGGCAGAGGGGGGUGGAAUUCCGCGUGUAGCAGUGAAAUGCGUAGAGAUGCGGAGGAACACCAAUGGCGAAGGCAGCCCCCUGGGUUAACACUGACACUCAUGCACGAAAGCGUGGGGAGCAAACAGG
This 253-nucleotide ribosomal RNA is filed under the name uncultured bacterium. Its description in RNAcentral is "partial 16S ribosomal RNA". It matches the Rfam family "Bacterial small subunit ribosomal RNA", at positions 524 to 776 of the family's 1533-position model. The record is from RNAcentral.